UCGGGCGGAGCUCGCAUGCGCGUGCGUGUGGUGGCGCAGACGCUCUCGGGUUACCCGGGGUAUCCGCCCGAGGGCGAGCGGCGCCGAAGGGGGCGCUGUAUCACGUAUGCUUGCAAGCGGGUGAGUCCGCGAAGGCUUGGGAGCUGUCUGAGAGUCCCGUGAGGCUCAGGCCUUUUUGCCCAAAGAGUGAAGUUCUGAUUAUCUCCUACUUUUCAAAGGAAAGCUGUCAGGAAAGCCAACUUUCCUCAAUUGAUGGAGAUUUUUUGGUUGUUAGGAAAGAAUCAUUUAUAAAUGUGGACAUCCUGAUUGCAGAAAGCCGAAGAAAGACUGAACUAAAAUAUUCUAUUAAUAUCAAAGGAAUAUGUGGGUGUCUGUGGUACUGCCGGGCCAAUGACGUAUUAAUGAGUUCAAUGAUUGCUAACUUGGGAAGGUGUGGCCAUUAUGUGAGUUAAGGACAAUGUAGGACUUUGGUCACAGUGUGCUGAGUAUAUAUACUGGCACCUCAGUCCUCCAGAGGAUUUCAUGCUGAUCCCUCAUCCCACUUAAUCAAGAAUUUGGCUCCUAGAAGAGGCUUAUUACUUUAAAGAGAAGCUUGCUAUGAUCAUCUGCCCCAUUCUAGCUCAGGAAUUUUUCCUGGAUAGAAAAGCAGGCUAUAAUACAGACAAUGAGUAAUCCCUUCCUAAAGGAACUGUCUUCAUUUGUGAAAGAGCCAAAGAAGUUCAAGGUUUUGUUUUUUGUUUUCUUUUUUUUGUUUUUUUUGGUACCAGGGAUCAAACUCAGGCCCUUGCGCAUGGUGAAUAGCAGUCGGGAAGAGUGUCACAGUUUUAAUGGGUCUACAGCUUGGACUAUGGGCUGACUGCCUUGUUGGACAGAACGGGAAAAUGAAAGGAGAAGGGUGGGGGGAUAAAUAGCAAGAAAGUUUUCCUGAGUCAGAAAAAUUAUUGGACAAUAAUCUCAAACCUUUCCUGCAAAGGCAUUACAUUUGAUCGGAUUCAUAUGUCAAGCAAUUUAUGUCACCAAGCAUUGUCAAAAGCAGUAAACCAAUCAACAAGCAGUAAACCAAUCCAACAAUUGGUGGAAUUUAACAUCAGGCAGGAUAGAGAGAAUGAGGAGAGAAAGCAAGUGCCAUUGUCCAUUGUUGGUGGGUGAGUGGGUAUACCCCAAGGUGCACUCCCUAAGAAGCAAUACUCCAUGUUUAACAUUGUUCAUGAGUGUGUGUGUGUGUGUGUGUGUGUGCGAGGAAAGCACUGAUUUUACUUAAUCAGUCAACAAACAAGCUCCUCAAAAGAUGGUGAGCUAUGAUUUGAGUAUGCUUCACCCCUCUGAGACUCAUGUCAGAAAUUAUUUCUCAUUUGGAGACAUUAAGAGGGUGAAAUCUUGAUCCAGCUAUGAUGUUUAGUAAGUAUAUCUCAUGGGAAGUGAUCAGGAUUAGAUAAAGUUAUCAAGAUGUAACACUUUGGAUGUUUGGAUACUGGUGGCUUUAUAAGCAGUUGAGAGGUGGGGGGAUAAAGAAAGGGGUUAGGAAUGGGAAGAGGAAGAAAGAAGACAACCAUGAAGAGCAGGGAAGGGAAGGGGAGGUGAGAGAGGGGAAGGGAAGAGAAAGUAUACAUGCAGCUUGUCAUGUGAUGUCUUACGCCAUCUGGGAACUCUGCCAGGAAAAGGCCAUUGUCAGAUGAGUCUCUUAAUUUUGGACCAGAACUGUGAGCCAAAAUAAACCUUUCUUCUUUAAAAUACCUGCA
Long non-coding RNA from Fukomys damarensis (Damara mole-rat), 1739 nucleotides. The record is from Ensembl. NCBI's taxonomy places the organism in Eukaryota, Metazoa, Chordata, Mammalia, Rodentia, Bathyergidae.